UACGAAGGGGGCUAGCGUUGCUCGGAAUUACUGGGCGUAAAGCGCACGUAGGCGGAUUGUUAAGUCAGGGGUGAAAUCCUGGAGCUCAACUCCAGAACUGCCUUUGAUACUGAAGAUCUUGAGUCCGGGAGAGGUGAGUGGAACUGCGAGUGUAGAGGUGAAAUUCGUAGAUAUUCGCAAGAACACCAGUGGCGAAGGCGGCUCACUGGCCCGGUACUGACGCUGAGGCACGAAAGCGUGGGGAGCAAACAGG
Molecule: ribosomal RNA, 253 nt
Filed under: uncultured bacterium
Lineage: Bacteria
Description: partial 16S ribosomal RNA
Rfam family: Bacterial small subunit ribosomal RNA
Source: RNAcentral